AAGUCGUAACAAGGUCUCCGUAGGUGAACCUGCGGAGGGAUCAUCAAAGGAAAACUUUUAUGAAAAAGUGGUGGGGGGAGAGAGGGGGGAGAGAGAAAUCUCUUCCCCCCCCCUCUCUCUCUUUCCUCUUUUUCUCAAACAAAUGAUCACAACUAUGUAAUAAGAGACAUUUGGAUUUGGGGGUUGGUGUGGGAUAAUCAAUCAAUCUCUCAAGAAGAGAGAGAGAAAAGACUUCUUGUGGCUUUUCUCCCCUCUCUCUUGGACAAAAAAAGUGCUUGCCUGAUAAUUGAUGGUUGGAAAAUUAAAAGAAAUACAACUUUCAACAACGGAUCUCUUGGCUCUCA
Molecule: unclassified non-coding RNA, 344 nt
Filed under: fungal sp.
Lineage: Eukaryota; Fungi
Description: partial internal transcribed spacer region
Rfam family: Eukaryotic small subunit ribosomal RNA (bases 1-46)
Source: RNAcentral